Molecule: unclassified non-coding RNA, 308 nt
Filed under: Lepiota alopochroa
Lineage: Eukaryota; Fungi; Basidiomycota; Agaricomycetes; Agaricales; Agaricaceae
Description: partial contains 5.8S ribosomal RNA, internal transcribed spacer 2, and large subunit ribosomal RNA
Source: RNAcentral
CGCAUCUUGCGCUCCUUGGUAUUCCGAGGAGCAUGCCUGUUUGAGUGUCAUUAAAUUCUCAAUCACACUAGUUGUUACAACUGGUUGUGACUUGGAUAUUGGGGGUAUAUAUUUGCGGGCUUCUUUUAUUGAGGUCGGCUCCCCUAAAAUAUAUUAGCGGAACUGUUUGCAGUCAGUCACAGGUGUGAUAAUUAUCUACACCCAAGACAAUGGUUGCUCUUUAUGGUGGUUCAGCUUCUAGUCGUCCAUUUAUGGACAACUUUUGAAUAUUUGACCUCAAAUCAGGUAGGAUUACCCGCUGAACUUAA